UGGCUGGACUUGAUGAUCUUAAAGGUCUUUUCCAAUCUAAAUGAUUCUAUGGCUUCACAUGAUGAUAGUGUUACGGUUACUAUGAAGCACUACUUAAGAUGUCUUCAGUUUGGGAAACACUUUGUGUUUGUCUGUUUGUUUGAGAGUAGAUU
Oxyura jamaicensis (ruddy duck) is the source of this 152-nucleotide long non-coding RNA. RefSeq lists it as uncharacterized. NCBI's taxonomy places the organism in Eukaryota, Metazoa, Chordata, Aves, Anseriformes, Anatidae. The record is from RefSeq and is a predicted model, not a curated record. The transcript is spliced from 3 exons.